GUGAGGAAUAUUGGACAAUGGGCGCAAGCCUGAUCCAGCCAUGCCGCGUGCAGGAAGACGCAUCUAUGGUGUGUAAACUGCUUUUGUACGGGAAGAAACACUCCCUCGUGAGGGAGCUUGACGGUACCGUAAGAAUAAGGAUCGGCUAACUCUGUGCCAGCAGCCGCGGUAAUACGGAGGAUCCAAGCGUUAUCCGGAAUCAUUGGGUUUAAAGGGUCCGUAGGCGGUUUAAUAAGUCAGUGGUGAAAGCCCAUCGCUCAACGAUGGAACGGCCAUUGAUACUGUUAGACUUGAAUUACAAGGAAGUAACUAGAAUAUGUAGUGUAGCGGUGAAAUGCUUAGAUAUUACAUGGAAUACCAAUUGCGAAGGCAGGUUACUACUUGUGGAUUGACGCUGAUGGACGAAAGCGUGGGGAGCGAACAGGAUUAGAUACCCUAGUAGUCC
Molecule: ribosomal RNA, 445 nt
Filed under: uncultured bacterium
Lineage: Bacteria
Description: partial 16S ribosomal RNA
Rfam family: Bacterial small subunit ribosomal RNA
Source: RNAcentral